This 251-nucleotide ribosomal RNA is filed under the name uncultured bacterium. RNAcentral's name for it is "partial 16S ribosomal RNA". It matches the Rfam family "Bacterial small subunit ribosomal RNA", at positions 524 to 774 of the family's 1533-position model. The record is from RNAcentral.
UACGUAGGUGGCAAGCGUUAUCCGGAAUGACUGGGCGUAAAGGGUGCGUAGGUGGUUUAGUAAGUUGGCGGUGUAAUUCCGGGGCUCAACCUCGGCGCUACCGCCAAAACUAUUAGACUAGAGUGCAGGAGGGGUAAGUGGAAUUCCUAGUGUAGCGGUGGAAUGCGUAGAUAUUAGGAGGAACAUCAGGGGCGAAGGCGACUUACUGGACUGUAACUGACACUGAGGCACGAAAGCGUGGGGAGCAAACA